GGCUGGCUGAUUAGAAAGCUUCCAGGACUUCCCCUGUCUCCACAUCCUAUCUACUGUAGGAAGCCUGGGAUACACAGGAUGUUGGGUCUGGGGCACCCGAUUCUGGUCCUCAGUUUUGCAUGAAAGACCUUUGACUGGGAAGAGAUGACCAUGAUUUCCUGUACCAGCAUCAAAGCCCCCUUCUCUGAACCAAGCAUCUUCCAAGAAGAGGAUUGCCCGGUGAUGGUUGAUUUUUCACAUUGUGUUCCAACAGAACAGUUAAUCUUCUGGAAGUACAUGAUGUGCCACACACUUUCUGAUCACAGGCACAUGGGAAACACACUAAGUUUGCUUUCACUACACGUUGAAGAUCUCCCAAAGGCAGGUUGAUGGUCUCCUGCCAGCCUGCCUCAUGUGAGCUGACAUGAAGACAAAAUAAUAAACCCAUGGCACCAGCUUUUCAUAUGUGUGUUGAAAUCUUGCUAAGUGGAAUGUGAAAUGAUGAGAAGGAACCUAAUAAGCUGGAGUUGAUCUGAAUGCCAACCCAGCAAGUGCCACGAAAAUCAAACCGUAUCAUAGAGGAGGUUUGGGAGCAUUAGUCAAAUUCCCUUCCUGCUUUCCUUUUCAUGUUGUUUGUUUUGUUUGCAUGAUCCUUUCACUGGAUGGUUCUCAUAGACUCAGAAAGAAAUCAACACCACAGAAGAAAGAGAAUCUGAC
Molecule: long non-coding RNA, 696 nt
Filed under: Cricetulus griseus (Chinese hamster)
Lineage: Eukaryota; Metazoa; Chordata; Mammalia; Rodentia; Cricetidae
Description: lncRNA (ENSCGRG00015042324.1)
Source: RNAcentral